UUUUUUUUUCCUUUUUCC
This 18-nucleotide small RNA is filed under the name Arabidopsis thaliana (thale cress). RNAcentral describes it as "ATSL084330". The record is from RNAcentral. Lineage: Eukaryota; Viridiplantae; Streptophyta; Magnoliopsida; Brassicales; Brassicaceae.